GCGCCCCCCUCCUGCCGGGGAGGUGGGAAGAGGGGCCAGGAUGGAGGAAGGCUGGAGGGCUGCUGGGACUCAGAGAAGAUAACGAAGCUGAUUGCCGCCUACCCUUUAGGCUGGGGUAACCCAGGCUCGAACUUGCCUGAAAAUCUGUCAUCAAAUGACUGCCCCAGGAAAGUAUUCAUGUGCCAGGCUCAGUGAAGGUUUUUAUGCAGCACCCUCCCUGUACAGGUAACACCCCAACUCCUCCAGGCAGCCCUCCUGGCCUGCUGGCAUUUGCACCCUACUGUUUGCCAUAGACUUGGGCAAUAGAAUGAGGCUACUGGGUUCAAAUCCAAGUCACACCUCUUUCUGUCCCCCUAUCCCCACAGCUCAGAUAACCACUGAGACCCUCACUUUCCCAAGCUGUCAAAUGAGCAUGAUUAUGAAAACUUCUAUCUUGAGACUUUCAUAAUGUCAAAAAGAGGUCAUAUAUGCAAAGUGGGUAUGAAACAGUUCGCAAUUCUGUAGCCCCAACCACCUAGCCCCUCACUGAACCCCAAACACACUCGGGUAUGCGCCCACCACCAGGCUUCCCACUGGCUGUUCCUCCCAGAUCUCCCCUCAGCAUCCUUCUCCCUUUAUUCACAUCUCUGCUCAUAGGUCACCUCAGAAGGGAGGUCCCUGGCCACUUAGCCAUCACUCCAGAACCCAUAUUGUUUAUCAUCACCUGACGUUACUUAGCUGAGCUGAGGCUCUGGAAUAAGGUUCAAAUCCUGACUUCACAAUUACUGGCUGUGUGACCUUGGACUGAGCCUCAGCUCCCUCCUUUAUAAAAUUUAAAAUGGGGAUAGCUGCUGGGAUGAAUAAGUGACUUAAUGAAUAGAAAAACCUCAGAUCAGUGCCCGCCCUACACUAGGUUAUUCCCAGAACUAAUACUGCUUGUAUUAUUUCUGGGUAGCCCGUCUGCCUCCCUCCUGCCUACUGCUAUGUCCUCAGUGUCCCAAUAGCCUGGCACAUAUUAGAUGCUUACUAAAUGUUUGAUGAAUUAGAUUUUACUAGAGCUCUGUGAGCCUCAGUUUUCUUAUUUGUAUAAUAGGAUGAUAAUAAUUGUGCCUCACAGAUGCUGACCCAUGGGAUAAAUGCUGCUGUUCUGUUUUUAGAAAUACUGUUGACUUUGAACAACACAUAUUUGAACCACAGAGGCUGGUCCAUGUAUAUGGAGAUUUUUUUCAGCAUGGGUUCCAGUUUGGGCUGGUUGAACCCAUGAUUGCAGAACCUUCCAAUAUAAUUGGCUGACUAUACAGGACUUAACAUCUACAGAUUUUUGGCAUGGUGGGUGGGAGUUACUGAAAUUGUCACACACACUCAACCCCCCAUACCAAAAGGCAACUGUAGUUAAAGUUUUAGGACAAUCAAAAUUUAUACAUGAAUUUUCACCUGCUGGAUGUCAGCGUGUUACAGGGCAACCCUAAUGUGAAAUGGGUUGGCCUGACUAUGGGCCCUCACCGCACCCUUAAAAGGGACUUAUAAUGAAACUCAACAGCAGGCACACACAAAAAGGGGUAAUAAAGGGUUUAUUUACAAAAAGGGGAAAUGAAGAAAUGAAUAACAGGGAGAAAGAGAGAGAUAAAUUGGUGAAUGUGUCCUACUGUUACAGGGCAGGGAGAGGGACACCCCAGAACCCCCAAACCUGCCCACUCUAAAUAGGUUCUGCCAUCUGCUGCAUCAAGGCAAAAUAUAUAAGACCUUUAAUGAAAAGGAACUUUAAUACAAUUAGUAAACAAUACAAAAAAGACAAAGAAUACAGUUUCUAAAUCAAGCAUCCUAAGUUACCUAUCCCUUCAUGGGUAAAAGUCCACCCAAAUGGGAUUGGCCCAGAGUAAGGCCUGAUACAAGUCUAAAGCACCUUCCCAUGGUGACCCAUAGAAAGUGGUCAGAAGCAGCCAGACAAUUCUGGGAGGAAAAGAGCAAAAGCAAAGUCAAGAUAAAAGCUGCCAUUGUCAACCUCCCCACAGGUCUCUCACCCACAUCUGUUUCAACCAGUCCAGGACCAAGAAGCAAGCGCUGUUUCUUCACGUGUCUCCCUGCUCCACAUGCCUCCACCAGGUCUCCUUCUUGCUCUCCAGCCUGCUUCCUUCCUUCUCAUUUCCUUUCCAGCUUCUUCUCCUCCUUGCUCAGCUCCAUCCCCCCUUUGGGUAGUGCAGGGAACCUGGAACCUCCCCUAUUCCUGGGUACCACCCUGUUACACUACCAGUUCUGCAGAGCUGGAACCCCAACAACACCAUUGAAGGCCAGCGAAAAAAACAAGGACCCCCAAGGCCCCAAGUGUCUGGUAUUAUACCAAACCUGGCUGCUUAACUCCACCCUUAGUUCCCAACAGCCCUCCCCUCUGUGGUGAUGACAUUAUGGGAUUUGUAGUCCUUUGUGUCUUGGAUAUCUUUGGUCUGGGGUGGGGGUGUGGUCCAUAAAACCUAUCUGUGGAGUUUGUUCAGGACAUCCUUUCCUCCCCAACAAGUGCCCCUAACACCAGUAUUACUUAAGGGUCAACUAUAAUACACAUUGGGCCUGUAGACGAUGCUUAGUACAUAGAAGUUACUUAAUAUAUUUGACCUACAUCUGGAGUCAGAGAAUGUGGGAGAACUCGUUCUCUUUCCCUACUUAUAGAGAGUUUGCUAGUUGAGCGUCAGGGUGCCUUGCUUUAUACUUUCUUCCCAGCCUGUCUUGCUUCUAGAGGAGCUGCGUGAUACUCUUCAGGCCAGUGAGACCCAAGUAGAGAUUGGCUGGGGUAUUCAGAGCAAGGUGGACCUGUUAUUAUCUGAACCUCAGUUUCUCCAUCUUUAAAAUGGGGUUAAAAACAGCAACCCACUGUGGUGAGGAUCAUAUAAGUGACCCAGAGGGAUUUAUAGGUGGCCAGGGGACCUGGAUAGUGCUGGCCCUGAUGCCAUUGAACUGCUGGUCUCCAACAGCACUAGGCUCUAAACUCUAAAUCAAUUGGUGAGGAAAAAGCAGCCUUUUUGUUCUUUUUGUUUACUGUAAUGUGGAUGUUGAUACUUGCAGCUCAAGUUAUUUCCAGAUGAUAUUAAAUUCUUCAUGUCCCUAAAUAUGCUCAGGAAAGAGUACCUGUUUACUGAUUUAUUUUUGUUUUUACUAUUUUUUUUAUUUAUGGUUAAUAGACUAUAGAUGCAGCUGGGAGACCACAACAUAAAAAAAAUGGUAGAGUGGAUGCAUUUAACUAGGCCUCUGUGCAGUUCAGGAAGAGGGAAUGAGAGACGGCCUAUAAGAGGGAGGGUAUAACUGUGUUCUCCCCAAAAGCUGUGUUGAAGUCCUAACCCCCAAAAUCUCAAAACAUGACCUUAUUUGGAAAUAGUGAUGUUGUAGCUGUAGUUAAUUAAAAUAGGUCCUGUUGGAAUAGGCAGAGAUUUAAUCCAAUAUGACUGGGUUACAGAUUUAGUCUAAGAAAAGAGACACAGAUGCAUGCUGAAGAGAAAAGGCCAUGUGACGAUGGAGGGAAAGAUCAGAGGACGCGUCUAUUAGCCAAGGACACGAAAGACUGUUGAAGGCCAGCAGAAGCUGGAAGAGGCAAGGAAGGACCCUAGGGACUUCACAGGGAGCUGUGUGGCCACCUUAAUACAGCCCUCCUCCAGAAUGUGAGGAAGGAGGCAUGGUGCUGGCCUUCAAGCAAACAGACAAGUCACCUGGUAUCUCUGCAAGAUGUUCCAGAAGCUUCUAUGAGGUGACAGGAAUAUUGUGCGCAUGCUCAUCUCUCUCUCUCUCUCACACACACACACACACACACACACACACACACAGAAUGAGCUUUCCCCACCCCCACCUGCCCUGUUCCCAAUUUCUCCACAGAAUAUUUUUUUCCCUCGGGCAGAAAAUGGACCAUUAUUAAAACAACACGGAGACCCAGCGAGGAAAACCCAUUUGCAGCGAUUUAUACCGCGUCACCACUGCUGCCGGCUACCGAGAGGAAAUGGGGGGAGAAGCGCGGGGUUUAAGCACGGGGUGAAGAAUCUCAUUGCAUCACAGAAGAACAGAUGGGUGUGUGUUUUUCUCUCCUCUUACCCCGGCCCCAUCCCAUUCAGAAUGCAUGUCGGUGUGGGUUUGUUCUCCGUGGUGUGGUAGGGGCGACUCUGGGGAGAAUGAGGCCACACCUGGCUGGGUCCCAGGAGAGGAAGGCAGCUUGGGAUCCACCCAGGAUCCCCUCUGCCACUGCCCACUUGGGCUGGAGGGUCUUCCUCCAUUCAUCCUCUUUUAAUUUUUAUACAUUCUUAUCACCACCUGGAAUUAUCCAGCCUCAUUCAUUGUCAACUUCCUUGAAGGCACUCUGAGUUUCCACUGGGGAAAACAGCAGUUGCUCAAAUAUCCUGACAAGGGCUAAUCCACUGUGACCCCACACAUCCUCCCCUGAAGUUGGUACUGAUACAUCGGCCCUCCCCACCAGGCAGAGAACUCACACAAAGAAAGGGGCUGUUUCAUUUCUCUCUCUCUUUUAUGGAUGCCCAGACCUUCCACCCCACUAAACUAAGUCUGAUCCACAGCCAGUUUUGGCGGGAGGGAGAACAUGACUGCAUCAUUUUGCUGUUUAAAUGCCAUGAGUAAUUUCUCUCCUUCAAAGUUAAAAUCUGUUAGCAUGGCUCCAGUGGAUCUUCCCAAUUCAGACACAAACACCCCACCCCCACCCCACACCUGUGCAGCCCCAGAUCCCUUGCAGUCAGACCCACUCCCUGGCUCAUUUGUGGUACCCUCCUCACCCAAGAUGCCUUGGGCAGCAGCUUUUGGGAAAACCUAGAUUCCCUUUCCCUCUGUGUACACCUCUUGUGCCUUGGGGCCAGACACCCAUGGUCAAAUGCAGCCCAGGAUAUGAUCUGUUUGGCCCAUGCAGGGUUUUUUAAAAAUUGCAAUGAGUUGACAGCUUUUAAAUAUCAGGCAAGUGUUGCAUAAAAAUCUGGAUUCCUGGCUUCCUAUCAAAAAACACAGCUUCUAAGAAGCUGAGGUCAUGCUUCCUGCAGGGCCAGUGCUCAUCUAGGACUGCCCCCACCCUAGGAGAGGGCCCAGCUUUCCCAUUUCUCAUGUGGUGGGUGGUUAAAGGGACUCUGAGCCAGACUGCCAAACUUAGAAUCACUCAACCUUCCUGUUCUGGAAUCUUCUGCUUGUCCUCCUGGAGGGAUUCUUCUUGCUUCUGGUACUCAGGAAGCUGUGCUUUGUGGACCCCACCAAUAGGCUCUGGGUACUACAGCUCAGGUUGUAGUCUAUCAAUGAAAUUCCUGUGGAGGGAGAGGUGGGGGUAUUUACUCCCUAGCUCUGCCCUCACCCUGUGGUCCCUGUAGGCCAUCUAUGUCUUUGCAGAGGCCGCAAGUCCUCACCACACAGCGGGCAGUGUCUCCAGGGUCUGACAAUGGCUUCUCCCCUGUCCCCAGAUGUAGGAGUGCUAAGGGCUCCCCAUUUUUAUUAAUCCAAGUCUGGCAUUUUUCCUGGGGUUCCCUACAUCUGUCCACACUGUGUAAAUUUGUCCCUUUGAUGAACUCUGUUCAAAUUACUUAAUUUGAAUGUAAUUUGACUGAUACUGCCCCUCCACCUGUUAAUCCACUUGGAAAAUGGAGGUAACUGUAGCUGCCUCUGGAGUUGAUUUGAGGUUGAAAAGAGUUGACAGUGCACAAGGAAAGGGCUUAGCAUGUGCUAAUGAAUGUUCACAAUUACUAUUACAGUUGACCUUCAAAUAACAAGGAGAUUAGGGGCACCCACCCCUGUGUAGUUGAAAAUCUUCAUGUAACUUCUGCCUCCUCAAAAACUUUAUAGCGAUCCCUUGGUUUCCUUGGGGGAUUGGUUUCAGUAGCCCAGAAACUAAAAAUCUCUGGAUGCUUAAGAGCCUUAUGUUGGAGCCUCCCUGGUGGUGCAAGGGGUUAAGCACAGCACUGUGAAGCUAUCCAUAGCCUCUGCCCUGUAAGUUCCAGUCCCAGCCGGCCAGGGAGCUACCCACAUGGCGCAGCAGACCUCUCCUGUCUCUCCUGCUGCUCCCCUCAGCAGGGUAUUUUCAUCAGUCUGCUUGUUCUGUUCCCUGCUCUGUCUCUGGUGAAUCCUCCUACCACAACCCCCCCCCCAACCCCCACACUUCUGGCCUCUACCCCAAUUCUCAUAUGCAUAAAUAAAUCUUUAAAAAAAAAAAAAGAG
This is a long non-coding RNA of Talpa occidentalis (Iberian mole), 6153 nucleotides long. RefSeq lists it as uncharacterized. Lineage: Eukaryota; Metazoa; Chordata; Mammalia; Eulipotyphla; Talpidae. The record is from RefSeq and is a predicted model, not a curated record. The transcript is spliced from 3 exons.